RNAcentral lists this ribosomal RNA (484 nucleotides) under uncultured bacterium. RNAcentral's name for it is "partial 16S ribosomal RNA". It matches the Rfam family "Bacterial small subunit ribosomal RNA", at positions 30 to 507 of the family's 1533-position model. The record is from RNAcentral.
AUUGAACGCUGGCGGCAGGCCUAACACAUGCAAGUCGAGCGGAUGAAGGGAGCUUGCUCCUGGAUUCAGCGGCGGACGGGUGAGUAAUGCCUAGGAAUCUGCCUGUCAUUGGGGGAUAACGUCCGGAAACGGGCGCUAAUCCCGCAUACGUCCUUAGGUUGAAAGGGGGGGAUCUUCGGACCUCACGCUAUCAGAUGAGCCUAGGUCGGAUUAGCUAGUUGGUGGGGUAAAGGCCUACCAAGGCGACGAUCCGUAACUGGUCUGAGAGGAUGAUCAGUCACACUGGAACUGAGACACGGUCCAGACUCCUACGGGAGGCAGCAGUGGGGAAUAUUGGACAAUGGGCGAAAGCCUGAUCCAGCCAUGCCGCGUGUGUGAAGAAGGUCUUCGGAUUGUAAAGCACUUUAAGUUGGGAGGAAGGGCAGUAAGUUAAUACCUUGCUGUUUUGACGUUACCAACAGAAUAAGCACCGGCUAACUUCGUG